Molecule: long non-coding RNA, 1304 nt
Organism: Carya illinoinensis
Lineage: Eukaryota; Viridiplantae; Streptophyta; Magnoliopsida; Fagales; Juglandaceae
Exons: 2
Source: RefSeq, a predicted model, not a curated record
UACCAAGUUCGGCAUUGUGGUGGUGUUGGAUCCAACCUUGGUUGCCAUAUUAAUUUCUCUCCGGCUGCAGCUCAUAAAUGGUUGGUGUCGCAGCCACCUCCCGCAAUGCCAAAUUAUUAUUUUUUUUUAAUUUAUUAUUCCAACCGUUUAUCAAGGUGGUGGCCUCGACCUUGAGUGACCAUCAUAAUGAUGUUUAAUGAUUGUCUUAAGAACAAUUAGCAUUAGGGUUUAUAUUUUUGGAUUUAAGAUUUUUCUUUAAGAAGAAAACAAUAAUCUAGUGUAGUUGAACUUACUGUAAAAUCUGUAGAAUGUUGAAGUGGUGCAUCAGGAUUGGAGGGUACCCAAUCCUGCCAGCAACAACCCCCCUUAUUGGGCAAGAAAAGGCAGCAGAGGAAAAUCCAGCAAAAACAACAUAACAUUGCCUCGAGCCCCAACCAACAAGAAGAAUCAUUCGGGAUGUGCACACAUGCAGAAAAACACAUGCAGAAAAACAGAUGCAGAAAAUGUGGACCUACAAAAACACAUGCACAUGCAGUGCAGAAAGCAUUCGGACCACAUGACAGCAAAUAUGCAGACCAUUCAUCACAUGGACAGCACAUGCAGAACAGAAAAAUCACAUGGACAGCAACCAAUCAUUCGGAAAGCAGCUCACACAUGCACAUGCAGGAUAGCAACUCACACUUGCAGCAGCACAUGUACAGUAGCAGAAAAAUCUUUCAACAAAGCAGACCAUCACGCUGAAGGAAAAGCAAUUGGACAGCAUCAGCAGAUAAUCAUUCGGACCACAACAUCACACAUGCAGAAAAUUCAACCAUGCAGCAGACUAAAACAUACAGACAUGCAGAAAAAUGCAAACAUACAGACCAAACUCACAUGAACCGAAAGCAGCAGCAGAAGUUUUUGACCCUUUACUUUUCAAACUUGUUUUUAUAUGGCUGGGAGACUUUUGUUCAUGGAGGAAGAGUAGUUUUCGGUUUGGCAGCAGCAAGACUUGGGCAGCUGUUUUUCUUGACUUUUACUUUGAUUCAUUUCUUUUUCUUGCUUUCAGUUUGGCAGCAAGAGCGGGAGAGUUUCAGUUUUUCUUCUUUCUUUUCUUCUGGUUAAAGGAAAGAGUUGUUGUUGGGAGGGGGACUUUGGAUCUUUGCAUUUUCCGUGGGAGAUAGAACUCUCUCUCUCGGUUUCAUUGUUUUUGUUUUUUUUAGUUUUAUUGCUGGGUUGUUUCGUUAGGCAGUAGGAGUAGCUCUUAUUUUUAUUUUACUGCAGUUCAGUUCAGCAUUGAAUUUAUUUACUUUUUCGUUUUCAUC